GUCUACGGCCAUACCACCCUGAACGCACCCGAUCUCGUCUGAUCUCGGAAGCUAAGCAGGGUCGGGCCUGGUUAGUACUUCGAUGGGAGACCGCCUGGGAAUACUGGGUGCUGUAGGCU
This 119-nucleotide ribosomal RNA is filed under the name Canis lupus familiaris (dog). Lineage: Eukaryota; Metazoa; Chordata; Mammalia; Carnivora; Canidae. The record is from RNAcentral. RNAcentral also lists the same sequence under 1 other name.